UACGAAGGGGGCUAGCGUUGCUCGGAAUCACUGGGCGUAAAGCGCACGUAGGCGGAUUUCUAAGUCAGGGGUGAAAUCCUGGAGCUCAACUCCAGAACUGCCUUUGAUACUGGGAAUCUCGAGUCCGGGAGAGGUGAGUGGAACUGCGAGUGUAGAGGUGAAAUUCGUAGAUAUUCGGAAGAACACCAGCGGCGAAGGCGGCUCACUGGCCCGAUACUGACGCUGAGGCACGAAAGCGUGGGGAGCAAACAGG
RNAcentral lists this ribosomal RNA (253 nucleotides) under uncultured bacterium. RNAcentral describes it as "partial 16S ribosomal RNA". It matches the Rfam family "Bacterial small subunit ribosomal RNA", at positions 524 to 776 of the family's 1533-position model. The record is from RNAcentral.